GUCCACGCCGUAAACUUUGGGUGCUAGGCGUCGCGGGUAUUGACCCCUGCGGUGCCGCAGCUAACGCAUUAAGCACCCCGCCUGGGGAGUACGGUCGCAAGAUUAAAACUCAAAGGAAUUGACGGGGGCCCGCACAAGCGGUGGAGCAUGUGGUUCAAUUCGAAGCAACGCGCAGAACCUUACCUGGGCUUGACAUCUGGAGAACCCCCUGGAAACAGGGGGUGCCUUCGGGAACUCCAAGACAGGUGCUGCAUGGCUGUCGU
This 263-nucleotide ribosomal RNA is filed under the name uncultured bacterium. RNAcentral describes it as "partial 16S ribosomal RNA". It matches the Rfam family "Bacterial small subunit ribosomal RNA", at positions 793 to 1055 of the family's 1533-position model. The record is from RNAcentral.